This 506-nucleotide ribosomal RNA is filed under the name uncultured Lachnospiraceae bacterium. Its description in RNAcentral is "bacterial SSU rRNA". It matches the Rfam family "Bacterial small subunit ribosomal RNA", at positions 8 to 507 of the family's 1533-position model. Lineage: Bacteria; Bacillati; Bacillota; Clostridia; Lachnospirales; Lachnospiraceae. The record is from RNAcentral.
AGAGUUUGAUCCUGGCUCAGGAUGAACGCUGGCGGUGUGCCUAACACAUGCAAGUCGAACGGACUUAUAACGAAACCUAGUGAAUUAUAAGUUAGUGGCGGACGGGUGAGUAACGCGUGGAAAACCUGCCGUAUACUGGGGGAUAACACUUAGAAAUAGGUGCUAAUACCGCAUAAGCGCACAGCUUCGCAUGAAGCAGUGUGAAAAACUCCGGUGGUAUACGAUGGUUCCGCGUCUGAUUAGCUAGUUGGUGAGGUAAAAGCCCACCAAGGCAACGAUCAGUAGCCGGCCUGAGAGGGUGAACGGCCACAUUGGGACUGAGACACGGCCCAGACUCCUACGGGAGGCAGCAGUGGGGGAUAUUGCACAAUGGGGGAAACCCUGAUGCAGCGACGCCGCGUGAGUGAAGAAGUAUUUCGGUACGUAAAGCUCUAUCAGCAGGGAAGAAAAAAAAGUCCACAGGACUUUGGACGGUACCUGACUAAGAAGCCCCGGCUAACUACGUG